UUCCCUAUAGCCGGUUCUCUACCACAGCCACACAGUCAGCUUCUGAAACACAGACCUUGCUGUCGCCCUCUCCUUUGCAAGCAUCCUGUGGCUGCACAUUCUCACCCCUCCGGGACCAGGAGCACCCACAACACCUGGGAACUGACUGGCGUCUGGUGUGUUCAUGAACUCAGGCAGGAGCAGACCUUAGCACAAUGCCUGGCACAGAGUGGGCACUCAGGGAGCGUUUGCUGAUGAGAGGACAUGAGAUCUAUGAGCGCCUCAUACAUUUGAGAUCAUUCUACAGUGUGUGUGGACAGUUUCCUACCUCAGAGAGGCUUACUUAAAGACUCCUAACCUCUACCCACUCGCCACAGCCUGAUGGAGUGGGGAACUGGAGAGCAACAGAAGAUCUGUUUCUGAAGUGAAAAAUAGGCCGCAUUUUGAAAAAAAAUCAGCUCGGUUGGUUGCUUGUUAAUUUACUUGUGCUCUACCUGCUUCUGACCUCAAUUAAUCCUCAGAAUGACCUUGUGAUGUCAGGGUUAUCAGGCCCACUUUCCAAAUGAUAUCUUUAAAACAGCAGGAGAUUAGGAAGCCACCCCAAGGCCCCGCAGCCUGUGUGCCUCACUGUUCUGAUUUAGAGCAAUGGACUCCCUUACCUGCACUGGGAAGCAUGAAACCACGAGGGAUGCUGGGCCCUCAAAGAAGCAUGUGUGCAGGGAUCUCGGUAGAUGGGGUACUCACACGCUCUCCCCUGCUGAAUCUCAAACAAGUUCAUCCAGUUGGAGGGACCUCUCUUUCUCUCUUUGGUCAUCUAUUUCUUGGUUGGGACAUGUUUUGGGGAAGAAGCUGGCCCACCUACAUUUGUGGGAGUAUGUGUGGGGAGGUGUGAACCUGGAACUAAUACCUAGAAUAAAUACACAAACCACCUGUAGUGUCUGAAAGAUAGCUACAAAUUCUUUGACCACCAUUCAAGAGGAAGGACCUAUGUUCCUCCCCUUAUAUCUGGCCAGGUCAGACCAUAGACUAGUAUUACACAGUGAAGUUGUACCCAAUUUCAGGUCAAGACCUUAGGAGACUGGAAGUCUCACAGUCUGUCUCUUGGAGUACCUGCUCUGAGCGCCUGGCUGCCAUGCUGUGAGGGAGCCCAAGCAGCUAUCUGGUCAGGACCAUUUGAAAUAAUGGAGACCAACGAUUUAUAGCCCCAGCUGAGCCCUUAGCCACCAGGGAGCAGCAACCUGCUGGGAAUGAGUCAUCUUGUAAGUGAGUCCCUCCAUCCUACUUAUACCUCCCCAACUAAUGCUGCCUGGAGCUGAGGUGAGCCAACCCACAGAAGCCCUGCCCAGACUGCAAAGUUGUGAGCAAAGUAACAGGUUGUGAUUUUAAGCCACUUCAUUUUGGAAUGGUUUGAAUGUAAUGUAUCAUUAGAUAACCAGAUAACCAGACGAGCUGAUCCUCUAAGGUGAAUUAUAUGGGAUACAA
Talpa occidentalis (Iberian mole) is the source of this 1461-nucleotide long non-coding RNA. RefSeq lists it as uncharacterized. Lineage: Eukaryota; Metazoa; Chordata; Mammalia; Eulipotyphla; Talpidae. The transcript has 3 exons. The record is from RefSeq and is a predicted model, not a curated record.